Molecule: small nucleolar RNA, 107 nt
Organism: Lactuca sativa (garden lettuce)
Lineage: Eukaryota; Viridiplantae; Streptophyta; Magnoliopsida; Asterales; Asteraceae
Source: RefSeq, a predicted model, not a curated record
AGGUCAUUUUGAGGGCAAUUUCUUAGUAACCCUUUAUAUCGUUCCCAUGCCUCAUAGAACGACUCCCCUGGUUGUUGCUCAAAGUUGGCUAUUGCCUUAUUGAGUUU